This 406-nucleotide ribosomal RNA is filed under the name uncultured bacterium. RNAcentral's name for it is "partial 16S ribosomal RNA". It matches the Rfam family "Bacterial small subunit ribosomal RNA", at positions 29 to 526 of the family's 1533-position model. The record is from RNAcentral.
AUUGAACGCUGGCGGCAAGCCUAACACAUGCAAGUCGAACGAGUGGCGGACGGGUGAGUAAUGGCUGGGAAACUGCCUGAUGGAGGGGGAUAACUACUGGAAACGGUAGCUAAUACCGCAUACCAUCGGAUGUGCCCAGAUGGGAUUAGAUGGUGGGUGGGGUAAAGGCUCACCUAGGCGACGAUCCCUAGCUGGUCUGAGAGGAUGACCAGCCACACGUGAACUGAGAGACGGUCCAGACUCCAAAGGGAGGCAGCAGUGGGGAGUAUUGCACAAUGGGCGCAAGCCUGAUGCAGCCAUGCCGCGUGUUUGAAGAAGGCCUUCGGGUUGUAAAGUACUUUCAGCGGGGAGGCGUUACCCGCAGAAGAAGCACCGGCGAACUCCGUGCCAGCAGCCGCGGUAAUAC